AUUGAACGCUGGCGGCAGGCCUAACACAUGCAAGUCGAGCGGAUGAAGGGAGCUUGCUCCUGGAUUCAGCGGCGGACGGGUGAGUAAUGCCUAGGAAUCUGCCUGGUAGUGGGGGAUAACGUCCGGAAACGGGCGCUAAUACCGCAUACGUCCUGAGGGAGAAAGUGGGGGAUCUUCGGACCUCACGCUAUCAGAUGAGCCUAGGUCGGAUUAGCUAGUUGGUGGGGUAAAGGCCUACCAAGGCGACGUUCCGUAACUGGUCUGAGAGGAUGAUCAGUCACACUGGAACGGAGACACGGUCCAGACUCCUACGGGAGGCAGCAGUGGGGAAUAUUGGAAAAUGGGCGAAAGCCUGAUCCAGCCAUGCCGCGUGUGUGAAGAAGGUCUUCGGAUGGUAAAGCACUUUAAGUUGGGAGGAAGGGCAGUAAGCUAAUACCUGCUGUUUUGACGUUACCAACAGAAUAAGCACCGGCUAACUUCGUG
Molecule: ribosomal RNA, 483 nt
Filed under: uncultured bacterium
Lineage: Bacteria
Description: partial 16S ribosomal RNA
Rfam family: Bacterial small subunit ribosomal RNA
Source: RNAcentral